This 497-nucleotide ribosomal RNA is filed under the name uncultured bacterium. RNAcentral's name for it is "partial 16S ribosomal RNA". It matches the Rfam family "Bacterial small subunit ribosomal RNA", at positions 28 to 507 of the family's 1533-position model. The record is from RNAcentral.
GAUGAACGCUGGCGGCGUGCCUAAUACAUGCAAGUCGAGCGAACUGACGAGAAGCUUGCUUCUCUGAUGUUAGCGGCGGACGGGUGAGUAACACGUGGAUAACCUACCUAUAAGACUGGGAUAACUUCGGGAAACCGGAGCUAAUACCGGAUAAUAUUUUGAACCGCAUGGUUCAAAAGUGAAAGACGGUCUUGCCGUCACUUAUAGAUGGAUCCGCGCUGCAUUAGCUAGUUGGUAAGGUAACGGCUUACCAAGGCAACGAUGCAUAGCCGACCUGAGAGGAUGAUCGGCCACACUGGAACUGAGACACGGUCCAGACUCCUACGGGAGGCAGCAGUAGGGAAUCUUCCACAAUGGGCGAAAGCCUGACGGAGCAACGCCGCGUGAGUGAUGAAGGUCUUCGGAUCGUAAAACUCUGUUAUUAGGGAAGAACAUAUGUGUAAGUAACUGUGCACAUCUUGACGGUACCUAAUCAGAAAGCCACGGCUAACUACGUG